Molecule: ribosomal RNA, 497 nt
Filed under: uncultured bacterium
Lineage: Bacteria
Description: partial 16S ribosomal RNA
Rfam family: Bacterial small subunit ribosomal RNA
Source: RNAcentral
GAUGAACGCUGGCGGCGUGCCUAGUACAUGCAAGUCGAGCGGAAAGACGAGAAGCUUGCUUCUCUGAUGUUAGCGGCGGACGGGUGAGUAACACGUGGAUAACCUACCUAUCAGACUGGGAUAACUUCGGGAAACCGUAGCUAAUACCGGAUAAUAUUUUGAACCGCAUGGUUCAAAAGUGAAAGACGGUCUUGCUGUCACUUAUAGCUGGAUACGCGCUGCAUUAGCUAGUUGGUAAGGUAACGGCUUACCACGGCAACGAUGCAUAGCCGACCUGAGAGGGUGAUCGGCCACACUGGAACGUGGACACGGUCCAGACUCCUACGGGAGGCAGCAGUAGGGAAUCGUCCGCAAUGGGCGAAAGCCUGACGGAGCAACGCCGCGUGAGUGAUGAAGGUCUUCGGAUCGUAAAACUCUGUUAUUAGGGAAGAACAUAUGUGUAAGUAACUGUGCACAUCUUGACGGUACCUAAUCAGAAAGCCACGGCUAACUACGUG